Molecule: ribosomal RNA, 253 nt
Filed under: uncultured bacterium
Lineage: Bacteria
Description: partial 16S ribosomal RNA
Rfam family: Bacterial small subunit ribosomal RNA
Source: RNAcentral
GACGUAGGGCGCGAGCGUUGUCCGGAUUUAUUGGGCGUAAAGAGCUCGUAGGCGGCUUGUCGCGUCGGCUGUGAAAUCCCGAGGCUCAACCUCGGGUCUGCAGUCGAUACGAGCAAACUAGAGUGUUGCAGGGGAGACUGGAAUUCCUGGUGUAGCGGUGAAAUGCGCAGAUAUCAGGAGGAACACCGGUGGCGAAGGCGGGUCUCUGGGCAACAACUGACGCUGAGGAGCGAAAGCGUGGGGAGCGAACAGG